This 479-nucleotide ribosomal RNA is filed under the name uncultured bacterium. Its description in RNAcentral is "partial 16S ribosomal RNA". It matches the Rfam family "Bacterial small subunit ribosomal RNA", at positions 28 to 523 of the family's 1533-position model. The record is from RNAcentral.
GACGAACGCUGGCGGCGUGCUUAACACAUGCAAGUCGAACGAUGAACCCGGAGCUUGCUCCGGUGGAUUAGUGGCGAACGGGUGAGUAACACGUGAGUAACCUGCCCUUGACUCUGGGAUAACUGCGGGAAACUGUAGCUAAUACCGGAUACGACCCUCGGCGGCAUCGCCAGGGGGUGGAAAGAAUUUCGGUCAAGGAUGGACUCGCGGCCUAUCAGCUAGUUGGUGAUGGCCUACCAAGGCGACGACGGGUAGCCGGCCUGAGAGGGUGACCGGCCACACUGGGACUGAGAUACGGCCCAGACUCCUACGGGAGGCAGCAGUGGGGAAUAUUGCACAAUGGGCGCAAGCCUGAUGCAGCGACGCCGCGUGAGGGAUGACGGCCUUCGGGUUGUAAACCUCUUUCAGCACCGACGAAGCGCAAGUGACGGUAGGUGCAGAAGAAGGACCGGCCAACUACGUGCCAGCAGCCGCCGUAA